GUGUGCAUAUCCAAAAAGCGGAGGAAAAGAAACCAACCGGGAUUGCCUUAGUAACGGCGAGUGAAGCGGCAAAAGCUCAAAUUUGAAAUCUGGCGUCUUCGACGUCCGAGUUGUAAUUUGAAGAAGGCGACUUUGUAGCUGGUCCUUGUCUAUGUUCCUUGGAACAGGACGUCAUAGAGGGUGAGAAUCCCGUGUGGCGAGGAUCCCAGUUAUUUGUAAAGUGCUUUCGACGAGUCGAGUUGUUUGGGAAUGCAGCUCUAAGUGGGUGGUAAAUUCCAUCUAAAGCUAAAUAUUGGCGAGAGACCGAUAGCGAACAAGUACAGUGAUGGAAAGAUGAAAAGAACUUUGAAAAGAGAGUGAAAAAGUACGUGAAAUUGUUGAAAGGGAAGGGCAUUUGAUCAGACAUGGCGUUUGCUUCGGCUUUCGCUGGGCCAGCAUCAGUUUUAGCGGUUGGAUAAAUCCUCGGGAAUGUGGCUCUGCUUCGGUAGAGUGUUAUAGCCCGUGGGAAUACAGCCAGCUGGGACUGAGGAUUGCGACUUUUGUCAAGGAUGCUGGCGUAAUGGUUAAAUGCCGCCCGUCUUGAACACCGGACCA
RNAcentral lists this ribosomal RNA (594 nucleotides) under Kluyveromyces marxianus. Its description in RNAcentral is "eukaryotic LSU rRNA". It matches the Rfam family "Eukaryotic large subunit ribosomal RNA", at positions 34 to 668 of the family's 3401-position model. The record is from RNAcentral. Lineage: Eukaryota; Fungi; Ascomycota; Saccharomycetes; Saccharomycetales; Saccharomycetaceae.